RNAcentral lists this ribosomal RNA (404 nucleotides) under Actinomycetes bacterium. RNAcentral describes it as "Actinobacteria bacterium partial 16S ribosomal RNA". It matches the Rfam family "Bacterial small subunit ribosomal RNA", at positions 355 to 776 of the family's 1533-position model. The record is from RNAcentral. Lineage: Bacteria; Bacillati; Actinomycetota; Actinomycetes.
UGGGGAAUAUUGGACAAUGGGCGCAAGCCUGAUCCAGCCAUGCCGCGUGAGUGAUGAAGGCCCUAGGGUUGUAAAGCUCUUUCACCGGUGAAGAUAAUGACGGUAACCGGAGAAGAAGCCCCGGCUAACUUCGUGCAAGCAGCCGCGGUAAUACGAAGGGGGCUAGCGUUGUUCGGAUUUACUGGGCGUAAAGCGCACGUAGGCGGACUUUUAAGUCAGGGGUGAAAUCCCGGGGCUCAACCCCGGAACUGCCUUUGAUACUGGAAGUCUUGAGUAUGGUAGAGGUGAGUGGAAUUCCGCGUGUAGAGGUGAAAUUCGUAGAUAUUCGGGGGAACACCAGUGGCGAAGGCGGCUCACUGGACCAUUACUGACGCUGAGGUGCGAAAGCGUGGGGAGCAAACAGG